UAUUUGAGUGGAACUUUUUGUAGGAAAUAA
This 30-nucleotide non-coding RNA is filed under the name Mus musculus (house mouse). Lineage: Eukaryota; Metazoa; Chordata; Mammalia; Rodentia; Muridae. The record is from RNAcentral.